UCGCGGCCUAUCAGCUUGUUGGUGGGGUAAUGGCCUACCAAGGCAACGACGGGUAGCCGGCCUGAGAGGGUGACCGGCCACACUGGGACUGAGACACGGCCCAGACUCCUACGGGAGGCAGCAGUGGGGAAUAUUGGACAAUGGGCGAAAGCCUGAUCCAGCAACGCCGCGUGAGGGAUGACGGCCUUCGGGUUGUAAACCUCUUUCAGCAGGGACGAAGCGCAAGUGACGGUACCUGCAGAAGAAGCACCGGCCAACUACGUGCCAGCAGCCGCGGUAAUACGUAGGGUGCGAGCGUUGUCCGGAAUUAUUGGGCGUAAAGGGCUCGUAGGCGGUUUGUCGCGUCGGGAGUGAAAACUCAGGGCUUAACCCUGAGCCUGCUUCCGAUACGGGCAGACUAGAGGUAUGCAGGGGAGAACGGAAUUCCUGGUGUAGCGGUGAAAUGCGCAGAUAUCAGGAGGAACACCGGUGGCGAAGGCGGUUCUCUGGGCAUUACCUGACGCUGAGGAGCGAAAGUGUGGGGAGCGAACAGGAUUAGAUACCCUGGUAGUCCACGCCGUAAACGUUGGGCGCUAGGUGUGGGACUCAUUCCACGAGUUCCGUGCCGCAGCUAACGCAUUAAGCGCCCCGCCUGGGGAGUACGGAAGCUUGGAAUUCGCCC
This 661-nucleotide ribosomal RNA is filed under the name uncultured Marmoricola sp. Its description in RNAcentral is "bacterial SSU rRNA". It matches the Rfam family "Bacterial small subunit ribosomal RNA", at positions 231 to 906 of the family's 1533-position model. Lineage: Bacteria; Bacillati; Actinomycetota; Actinomycetes; Propionibacteriales; Nocardioidaceae. The record is from RNAcentral.